RNAcentral lists this transfer RNA (75 nucleotides) under Hormoscilla sp. SP12CHS1. Its description in RNAcentral is "tRNA-Met". It matches the Rfam family "tRNA". From Rfam's summary of the family: Transfer RNA (tRNA) molecules are approximately 80 nucleotides in length. Their secondary structure includes four short double-helical elements and three loops (D, anti-codon, and T loops). The record is from RNAcentral. Lineage: Bacteria; Bacillati; Cyanobacteriota; Cyanophyceae; Gomontiellales; Gomontiellaceae. RNAcentral also lists the same sequence under 1 other name.
GCGGGGAUAGAGCAACGGUUAAGGCUCGGCAGUCUCAUAAGCUGAAGUUCAGUGGGUUCGACUCCCACCCCCGUU